Molecule: ribosomal RNA, 1455 nt
Filed under: Pelagibacteraceae bacterium AG-422-D23
Lineage: Bacteria; Pseudomonadati; Pseudomonadota; Alphaproteobacteria; Candidatus Pelagibacterales; Candidatus Pelagibacteraceae
Also listed under: 1 other name
Description: bacterial SSU rRNA
Rfam family: Bacterial small subunit ribosomal RNA
Source: RNAcentral
AGAGUUUGAUCAUGGCUCAGAACGUACGCUGGCGGCACGCCUAACACAUGCAAGUCGAACGAAGUAGCAAUACUUAGUGGCAGACGGGUGAGUAACAUGUAGGUAUCUGCCCUUUGGCCUGGAAUAACACGAGGAAACUUGUGCUAAUACCGGAUAAGUCUUUACAGAGAAAGCUUUAUGCACCAUUGGAUGAGCCUGCACUUGAUUAGUUUGUUGGUGGGGUAAUGGCCUACCAAGACUGUGAUCAAUAGCUGAUUUGAGAGGAUGAUCAGCCACAUUGGGACUGAGACACGGCCCAAACUCCUACGGGAGGCAGCAGUGGGGAAUCUUGCACAAUGGAGGAAACUCUGAUGCAGCGAUGCCGCGUGAGUGAAGAAGGCCCUUGGGUUGUAAAGCUCUUUCGUCGGGGAAGAAAAUGACUGUACCCGAAUAAGAAGGUCCGGCUAACUUCGUGCCAGCAGCCGCGGUAAUACGAAGGGACCUAGCGUAGUUCGGAAUUACUGGGCUUAAAGAGUUCGUAGGUGGUUGAAAAAGUUAGUGGUGAAAUCCCAGAGCUUAACUCUGGAACUGCCAUUAAAACUUUUCAGCUAGAGUAUGAUAGAGGAAAGCAGAAUUUCUAGUGUAGAGGUGAAAUUCGUAGAUAUUAGAAAGAAUACCAAUUGCGAAGGCAGCUUUCUGGAUCAUUACUGACACUGAGGAACGAAAGCAUGGGUAGCGAAGAGGAUUAGAUACCCUCGUAGUCCAUGCCGUAAACGAUGUGUGUUAGACGUUGGAAAUUUAUUUUCAGUGUCGCAGCGAAAGCGAUAAACACACCGCCUGGGGAGUACGACCGCAAGGUUAAAACUCAAAUGAAUUGACGGGGACCCGCACAAGUAGUGGAGCAUGUGGUUUAAUUCGAAGAUACGCGCAGAACCUUACCAACACUUGACAUGUUCGUCGCAACUCUAAGAGAUUAGAGUUUUCGGUUCGGCCGGACGAAACACAGGUGCUGCAUGGCUGUCGUCAGCUCGUGUCGUGAGAUGUUGGGUUAAGUCCCGCAACGAGCGCAACCCUCACUUUUAGUUGCCAUCAUUAAGUUGGGCACUCUGAAAGAACUGCCAGUGAUAAGCUGGAGGAAGGUGGGGAUGACGUCAAGUCCUCAUGGCCCUUACGUGUUGGGCUACACACGUGCUACAAUGGUAUCUACAACAGGAAGCAAGACUGCGAAGUCAAGCAAAUCCUUAAAAGAUACCUCAGUUCGGAUUGCACUCUGCAACUCGAGUGCAUGAAGCUGGAAUUACUAGUAAUCGUGGAUCAGCGUGCCACGGUGAAUGCGUUCCCGGGUCUUGUACACACCGCCCGUCACACCAUGGGAGUUGGUUCUACCUUAAGGCAAGGUUUAAAACCCUUGACCACGGUAUAGUCAGCGACUGGGGUGAAGUCGUAACAAGGUAGCCGUAGGGGAACCUGCGGCUG